Molecule: long non-coding RNA, 461 nt
Organism: Gambusia affinis (western mosquitofish)
Lineage: Eukaryota; Metazoa; Chordata; Actinopteri; Cyprinodontiformes; Poeciliidae
Exons: 3
Source: RefSeq, a predicted model, not a curated record
UCGAGCUCAUGUCAGAUUGGAUGGAAACUGCAAUUUUCUAUUAGAUAAAGGUUUGGACUUUGACUGGGCCAUUCUAACAAAUGAAGAUGUUUUAAUCUAAACCAGCUCUGGCUGCAUGUUUUGGUCCUAAACCGUCUGCAGCUUCUUGGUUCCAUGUUUCCAUCAUAUCAGGACAGCUUCUCUAUUCCUGCUAGAGAAACGAACCCCCACAGCAUGACGCCACCACUACCAUGUCUUAAUCAUGGGGACGGUUUGUUCAGUUCUUUUUUUGUCUCUAAAAACGACACUGAGGGAACCGACGAACACGUGAAAAUUGCUGUUUGCAGGUUUCUUUACGUCACAUCCUUUUCCUGCAGCAGUCAGUGGAAAGAGGGCCGAUCUUCACUCAGACUGAACAAAAAGCUUUUCUUUGAGCAAACCAAACAAUCCACAUAAACAGCACACACCUACACAGAAACGAG